This 507-nucleotide ribosomal RNA is filed under the name Eriphia smithii. RNAcentral describes it as "partial 16S large subunit ribosomal RNA". It matches the Rfam family "Bacterial large subunit ribosomal RNA", at positions 1836 to 2589 of the family's 2925-position model. The record is from RNAcentral. Lineage: Eukaryota; Metazoa; Arthropoda; Malacostraca; Decapoda; Eriphiidae.
UUUGAAGAUAUAAUCGGUCUAGCCUGCUCACUGACAAAAAGUUGUUUAAGAGCCGCGGUAUUUUGACCGUGCAAAGGUAGCAUAAUCAUUAGUUUUUUAAUUAGGAACUUGUAUGAAAGGUUGGACAAAAGAAAAGCUGUCUCUAUUGUAAAAGUUGAAUUUAACCUUUAAGUGAAAAGGCUUAAAUGUCUCAGGGGGACGAUAAGACCCUAUAAAGCUUUACAUAAUUGUUGAGUUUAAUUGAAUUAAUAUGAUAAGUGUUUAGCUAAAUUGUUAUGUUUUAUUGGGGCGAUAUAGGUAUAAGUUUAGUUAACUGCUUGAACAAUAUACAGUAAUAGGUGAGUAAAAUAAAAGAUCCUUUUUAGAGAUUAAAAGACUAAGUUACUUUAGGGAUAACAGCGUUAUUUCUUUUGAGAGUUCCUAUCGAAAAAGAAGUUUGCGACCUCGAUGUUGAAUUAAAAUGUCUAUAUAGUGCAGUCGCUGUAAGAGAAGGUCUGUUCGACCUUU